UACAUAGGGGGCAAGCGUUGUUCGGAAUUACUGGGCGUAAAGGGCGCGUAGGCGGUCUUCUAAGUCGGACGUGAAAUCCCCGGGCUCAACCCGGGAACUGCGUCCGAUACUGGAAGGCUUGAAUCCGGGAGAGGGAUGCGGAAUUCCAGGUGUAGCGGUGAAAUGCGUAGAUAUCUGGAGGAACACCGGUGGCGAAGGCGGCAUCCUGGACCGGCAUUGACGCUGAGGCGCGAAAGCCAGGGGAGCAAACGGG
RNAcentral lists this ribosomal RNA (253 nucleotides) under uncultured bacterium. Its description in RNAcentral is "partial 16S ribosomal RNA". It matches the Rfam family "Bacterial small subunit ribosomal RNA", at positions 524 to 776 of the family's 1533-position model. The record is from RNAcentral.